GACGAACGCUGGCGGCGUGCCUAACACAUGCAAGUCGAACGGAACUGUUUUGAAAGAUUUCUUCGGAAUGAAUUUGAUUUAGUUUAGUGGCGGACGGGUGAGUAACGCGUGAGUAACCUGCCUUCAAGAGGGGAAUAACAUUCUGAAAAGAAUGCUAAUACCGCAUGACAUAUCGGAACCACAUGGUUUUGAUAUCAAAGAUUUUAUCGCUUGAAGAUGGACUCGCGUCCGAUUAGUUAGUUGGUGAGGUAACGGCUCACCAAGACCGCGAUCGGUAGCCGGACUGAGAGGUUGAGCGGCCACAUUGGGACUGAGACACGGCCCAGGAUCCUACGGGAGGGAGCAGUGGGGGAUAUUGCGCAAUGGGGGCAAGCCUGACGGAGCAACGGAGCGUGAAGGAUGAAGGUUUUCGGAUUGUAAACUUCUUUUAUUAAGGACGAAAAAUGACGGUACUUAAUGAAUAAGCUCCGGCUAACUACGUG
Molecule: ribosomal RNA, 482 nt
Filed under: uncultured bacterium
Lineage: Bacteria
Description: partial 16S ribosomal RNA
Rfam family: Bacterial small subunit ribosomal RNA
Source: RNAcentral